AAUCAACGCUGGCGGCGUGCCUCAGACAUGCAAGUCGAACGCGAAAGGUUCCUUCGGGAACCGAGUAGAGUGGCGCACGGGUGAGUAACACGUAGGUAAUUUGCCUUUGGGUGGGGAAUAACUCAGGGAAACUUGAGCUAAUACCGCAUAAUGCAGCGGCUCGACAUCGAGACAGUUGUUAAAGCGGGGAUCGCAAGACCUCGCGCCUAAAGAGAAGCCUGCGGCAGAUUAGCUAGUUGGUAAGGUAAUGGCUUACCAAGGCGACGAUCUGUAACCGGCCUGAGGAGGGCGGUCGGUCACACUGACACUGACAUACGGGUCAGACUCCUACGGGAGGCAGCAGUCGGGAAUUUUGGGCGAAUGGGCGAAAGCCUGACCCAGCAACGCCGCGUGAAGGAUAGAAUUUUCGGAAUGUAAACUUCGCAAGAACAGGAAGAAUAAGUAGAAGAU
RNAcentral lists this ribosomal RNA (450 nucleotides) under uncultured bacterium. RNAcentral describes it as "bacterial SSU rRNA". It matches the Rfam family "Bacterial small subunit ribosomal RNA", at positions 32 to 461 of the family's 1533-position model. The record is from RNAcentral.